GGAUAUGUGUGUAAUCUGGCUGUAGCAUCUGUCAUACCGUUAAUCAUUUGGCUGGUCUGUCUGGCUGGGCAGGUGUUCCCUUCCUUCAUCACUGCUCUAUGUGUGUCCUUCUCGAAGCUAUGUUGAUGAAGACAACCAUCCCCAGAUAAAGGAGAUAGAGGAGUAAUAUACCCUGGGUCAAGUGUAUACAAGUCGCAGCACUCGCAUGCUAGACCUUCCAAACAGGCUCUCAAAUCAGAAACUAACUCCUGUUGUCCAAUGCAGAUUUUAUCAGAAUUUCAUAUAACAUACCGGUACAUUGCUGGAAUUUAAACUAU
RNAcentral lists this small nuclear RNA (317 nucleotides) under Chinchilla lanigera (long-tailed chinchilla). RNAcentral's name for it is "7SK RNA (ENSCLAG00000021571.1)". It matches the Rfam family "7SK RNA". From Rfam's summary of the family: 7SK was discovered as an abundant small nuclear RNA in the mid-70s but a possible function has only recently been suggested. The record is from Rfam by way of RNAcentral. Lineage: Eukaryota; Metazoa; Chordata; Mammalia; Rodentia; Chinchillidae.